AAAGAUUAAGCCAUGCAUGUCUAAGUAACACUUUAAGAUCGUGAAACCGCGAAUGGCUCAUUAUAACAGCUAACAUCUACUUGAUCUUGACACAAUCCUACUUGGAUAACUGUGGUAAUUCUAGAGCUAAUACAUGCAUUAAAGCUCUGACCUCACGGGAAGAGUGCACUUAUUAGAACAAAACCAAGCGCUUCGGCUGUUUCUGGUUGACUCAUAGUAACUGAGCUGAUCGCACGGUCUUGCACCGGCGACGUGUCUUUCGAGUAUCUGCCGUAUCAACUUUCGAUGGUAGUGUAUCUGACUACCAUGGUGAUCACGCGUAACGGAGAAUAAGGGUUCGGCUCCGGAGAGUUCGCCCGAGAAAUCGCGAACACAUCUAAGGAAGGCAGCAGGCGCGAAAAUUACCCACUCUCAGCACGAGGAGGUAGUGACGAAAAACAACGAGACCGUUCUCUUAUGAGGCCGGUCAUCGGAAUGGGUACAAUUUAAACCCUUUAACGAGUAUCUAUGAGAGGGCAAGUCUGGUGCCAGCAGCCGCGGUAAUUCCAGCUCUCAAGUGCAUAGAAUUAUUGCCGCGGUUAAAAGCUCGUAGUUGGAUCUGUGCCAUAGGACGUGGUCCACCUUCUGGGUGCGUACUAUGUUCCUAGGCUUUUUGCUGGUUUUCCCGUCGUAGCCUUAACUGGUUGCGGCGGGUGGCUGGCGAGUUUACUUUGAGAAAAUCAGAGUGCUCCACACAGGCGUAUCGCUUGAAUGAUUGUGCAUGGAAUAAAUAGAAAGGAUUUCGGUCCUCUUUUAUUGGGUUUGUGGACUGAGAUAAUGGGUUACAGGGACCAACGGGGGCAUUCGUAUCGCUGCGUGAAUUCUUGGACCGAACGAGACGCCUACUGCGAAGCUUUGCCA
Molecule: ribosomal RNA, 900 nt
Filed under: Acrobeloides apiculatus
Lineage: Eukaryota; Metazoa; Nematoda; Chromadorea; Rhabditida; Cephalobidae
Description: SSU rRNA
Rfam family: Eukaryotic small subunit ribosomal RNA
Source: RNAcentral